GCGUGGAAGGGCCAUCGCACAACGGAGAAAAGCGCCCCGGGGGAUAACAGCCUGAGCCCCCCAAAGGGGCCACAGCGACGGGGAGGUGUGGCACCUCGAGGGUGGCUCAUCACAUCCUGGGGCUGUAGUAGGUCCCAAGGGUUGGGCUGUUCGCCCAUUAAAGUGGUACGCGUGCUGGGUUCAGAACGUCGUGAGACAGUUCGGUCCCUAUCCGUCGCAGGCGUAGGAAAUUUGAGAAGACCUGUCCUUAGUACGAGAGGACCGGGAUGGACGUACCUCUGGUGUACCAGUUGUCCUGCCAAGGGCAUGGCUGGGUAGCUA
This 321-nucleotide ribosomal RNA is filed under the name Clostridioides difficile. RNAcentral's name for it is "bacterial LSU rRNA". It matches the Rfam family "Bacterial large subunit ribosomal RNA", at positions 2431 to 2751 of the family's 2925-position model. The record is from RNAcentral. Lineage: Bacteria; Bacillati; Bacillota; Clostridia; Peptostreptococcales; Peptostreptococcaceae.